GAAGUCCCAUACAAGGAAGGAGUAGCGAACCGUCUUGACCCCGAGUCAUGCGUUGCGCAUCGCGAGGUGUGUAGCGAAGCGUUGACAGGGGACACCGGCAGGCCAGCCAUUGAGCCGCGAAAUCAAUAGAAACAGGAUGCCGACGUUGUUCCGCUUAACGGAAGGCAAUACUCAGCAGGGCGCAAUCGCGAGUCCUGCUGUGAUCCUGCGCGGUCGGAGACAC
Gallionella sp. is the source of this 223-nucleotide non-coding RNA. The record is from Rfam. Lineage: Bacteria; Pseudomonadati; Pseudomonadota; Betaproteobacteria; Nitrosomonadales; Gallionellaceae.